Long non-coding RNA from Sparus aurata (gilthead seabream), 1994 nucleotides. Lineage: Eukaryota; Metazoa; Chordata; Actinopteri; Spariformes; Sparidae. The record is from Ensembl.
AUCAUCUCAUUUCAGCUGUAGGACUUACGGUUUUGGAUUUAGAAGCCCAGGAGCGACAAGCACGCCUGAAUGUUCCCCAUAAGCGGCAAUGUUAAUUUUGAGCCCAAAUUUCUGGAGGAUCGCAGACGGUACAUGUUUUGUCUCUCGCUCCUGUGCCCUCAUUAUGCACUCUACAGAAAUAAAAAUAACAUGGGUGCGUUCAGCAAUGUCUCCUGUCACUCAACAUACAGCAUGUUUUGGCAAUAACUAUAACAGUUUUCUCAAGAAUCGCAGGAGUUUGGGAGGCACUUCCGCAUUCAUUCCUUAUGGGGACAUUUUCGUCUGUAUUUCUGCUCCUGCUGCAGCAUGUCUGCAGCCAUUUGAAGCUCUUUCUGCCUUUAACUUCUCACCUGUCAGGGCUGCAGACAUGCUGCAGCAGGAGCAGAAACAAAGACGAAAAUGUCCCCAUAAGGAAUGAAUGGGAAAAUGUCUCCCAAACUCCUGCGAUUUUUGGGAAAACUGUUAUAGUUAUCGGCAAAACAUGCAACAUGUUGAGUUACAGGAGACAUUGCUGAACGUACUCAUGUCAUUUAUAUUUCUGUAGAGUGCAUAAUGAGGGCACAGGAGCGAGAGACAAAACAUGUACCGUCUGCGAUCCUCCAGAAGUUUUGGCUCAAAAUUAACAUUGCGCCUUAUGGGGAACAGGAAAAAUCUCUUUCCCGUGAUGGCGCCUCAGAGGAAAUGGCUGCAGACAACGUCUGGGGGUGGGGAGUGGUUGACUGUGUUUGAAUAUAGUUGUCUGUAGGGGAUAACUAACUCUCUCCUGCUCUGCAGCCGUCUAGUAGUGCUAAAUCUUUAAGUUUUGUUAUACCAGCUAUUCUCAGCUGUUUUCCCCCCUACAUUUAAAUUCAUUUGGACAAGACAAUUUUCAUCUGAAGUACCAAUGGAGUCUCUAAAUGGUGAGUUAUUAUUUCAUUAUCCUAUUUCAUUAUCCUAUUUCUAAUAAGGUGGUUUUAAUGGUUCUGUUGAUCUUAGGAUAAUGUUUUGCAUACUGUUUUAAAGGUUUUGUUUAUUAGGUCACUUGGUGGGUGCUGUGUUGGAUGUUGAGGAAAACCCUGAUGCUGACAACCAAGGCUAGUCUUUAAUAUCACUCAUUUAUGUUAGAAUUUAUUCAAUUUACAAUUUGUUUUAAAUUGAUUUCUUUACCUUCUUUUGUACAGUUUUCAGGGAGAAACACGGUGCCCUGGUGACAUCAUUAGUGCAGAGCGAAAAAAACUUGAUGAUCAGAUAGCUGUUUGGAAACAGAGAACUAUUGGGGAGGAUCAAAAAGGUCUUGAUGGUAAAACAGUGUUUUUUUAUGCUUAAAUAGAAAUUGUCAAUAUGUCGUCAGUUUAUAUUAAUCAUUUAUAAAAAAAAAAAUUCUGCUAAUAUGUAUAGAUUGCCCUCCCCCUCAUAAAAAAAUCAAAAGUCUGGAUUGUGCUAAAACCUCUGGCAAGAAGUCAUUAUUGAGCCGAAAACGUCGUGGGAUUAAGAGCCGUCAAACUGAUAAUGAUGCAACGUAUGUAACAACUAUUUGUUAGUAGCAUGAAUUAACAGUCAUAGUGUGUGUUAUUAUAAUUAUUAAUAUACUUGAAAUAAAUGUUAUUGUUGAUUCUAAUUUUUUCCUAACUUUAUCGCGUUAUCACAGGUCGGGGAACGGUGUAUGGCAACCGUUAGACAUUCCUCAGAAGUCGCAGUUCUUUCCCCCGAGAGAAGUGGAUGAGGCAGUGCAGGCACUCGUGCAGCUAAACACAACGCCGAGGGACGAGCCCCAGUUACCCGCUGGAUAUGUGGUUGCCUCUUCCCAAACAGGUGUUGUAGAAAAUGAUGUGUAUGACAAUGAUAUUUUUAUUGUAAGCCCUCGGUCCAUUACACCUGAUGAACAAAUAUCAGCAGAUGUAUUGUCGCUACUGGCCGCUACAGUUAGCAAUAUACAAUCAUCCCCGGUAGGGAGUCCUAAUAGCAGUGUGAUCAGU